GAUGAACGCUGGCGGCGUGCCUAAUACAUGCAAGUCGAGCGAACAGACGAGGCACUUGCUCCUCUGACGUUAGCGGCGGACGGGUGAGUAACACGUGGAUAACCUACCUAUAAGACUGGGAUAACUUCGGGAAACCGGAGCUAAUACCGGAUAAUAUAUUGAACCGCAUGGUUCAAUAGUGAAAUACGGUUUUGCUGUCACUUAUAGAUGGAUCCGCGCCGCAUUAGCUAGUUGGUAAGGUAACGGCUUACCAAGGCGACGAUGCGUAGCCGACCUGAGAGGGUGAUCGGCCACACUGGAACGGAGACACGGUCCAGACUCCUACGGGAGGCAGCAGUAGCGAAUCUUCCGCAAUGGGCGAAAGCCUGACGGAGCCACGCCGCGUGAGUGAUGAAGGUCUUCGGAUCGUAAAGCUCUGUUAUUAGGGAAGAACAAAUGUGUAAGUAACUAUGCACGUCUUGACGGUACCUAAUCAGAAAGCCACGGCUAACUACGUG
This 497-nucleotide ribosomal RNA is filed under the name uncultured bacterium. Its description in RNAcentral is "partial 16S ribosomal RNA". It matches the Rfam family "Bacterial small subunit ribosomal RNA", at positions 28 to 507 of the family's 1533-position model. The record is from RNAcentral.